This 274-nucleotide ribosomal RNA is filed under the name uncultured bacterium. Its description in RNAcentral is "partial 16S ribosomal RNA". It matches the Rfam family "Bacterial small subunit ribosomal RNA", at positions 333 to 623 of the family's 1533-position model. The record is from RNAcentral.
AGUACCCUACGGGGCGCAGCAGUGGGGGAUAUUGCACAAUGGGGGAAACCCUGAUGCAGCGACGCCGCGUGUGGGAAGACGGUCCUCUGGAUUGUAAACCACUGUCCCCAGGGACGAAAAUGACGGUACCUGGGGAGGAAGCUCCGGCUAACUACGUGCCAGCAGCCGCGGUAAUACGUAGGGAGCGAGCGUUGUCCGGAAUUACUGGGUGUAAAGGGAGCGAAGGCGGGGAUGCAAGUUGGGUGUCAAAACUACCGGCUCAACUGGGAGCCGC